UCCGGUGAUAGUAGCGCAAGGGUCAUACCUCUUCCCAUUCCGAACAGAGAAGUCAAGCCUUGUAGCGCCGAUGGUACUUGGUGGGCAACUGCCUGGGAGAGUAGGUCGUCGCCGGGA
RNAcentral lists this ribosomal RNA (117 nucleotides) under Thermoleophilia bacterium. The record is from RNAcentral. Lineage: Bacteria; Bacillati; Actinomycetota; Thermoleophilia.